Molecule: ribosomal RNA, 507 nt
Filed under: uncultured bacterium
Lineage: Bacteria
Description: bacterial SSU rRNA
Rfam family: Bacterial small subunit ribosomal RNA
Source: RNAcentral
AGAGAUGCUUUGGUGCCUUCGGGAACUCUGAGACAGGUGCUGCAUGGCUGUCGUCAGCUCGUGUUGUGAAAUGUUGGGUUAAGUCCCGCAACGAGCGCAACCCUUAUCCUUUGUUGCCAGCGGCUCGGCCGGGAACUCAAAGGAGACUGCCGGUGAUAAACCGGAGGAAGGUGGGGAUGACGUCAAGUCAUCAUGGCCCUUACGGCCAGGGCUACACACGUGCUACAAUGGCGCAUACAAAGAGAAGCGACCUCGCGAGAGCAAGCGGACCUCGUAAAGUGCGUCGUAGUCCGGAUUGGAGUCUGCAACUCGACUCCAUGAAGUCGGAAUCGCUAGUAAUCGUAGAUCAGAAUGCUACGGUGAAUACGUUCCCGGGCCUUGUACACACCGCCCGUCACACCAUGGGAGUGGGUUGCAAAAGAAGUAGGUAGCUUAACCUUCGGGAGGGCGCUUACCACUUUGUGAUUCAUGACUGGGGUGAAGUCGUAACAAGGUAAGCGUAGCGAG